RNAcentral lists this long non-coding RNA (688 nucleotides) under Monodelphis domestica (gray short-tailed opossum). RNAcentral's name for it is "lncRNA (ENSMODG00000033378.2)". The record is from RNAcentral. Lineage: Eukaryota; Metazoa; Chordata; Mammalia; Didelphimorphia; Didelphidae.
AGCUCUCUAUCCAUUGAGCUACCUAGUGUGAAUUUUAAAUUCUCUCCAUCUUGCUUGGUCUAGCACCCAGGAAUGUGCACACCCACACUACACGGGCAUGUGCUAGCUAAUGACAAAUCAGAAACAACUAACUGCUCCCCCGGGCUGUCCUAAGCCAAGCUGGAGCCACUUUUAGUGGCUCAUGUGAGACGCAGGAAGUGAGGUAGAGAACAGCCUCUGGAGUUCUCGUCACUUCCUGUGGAGAUGGCAAGGCACCAGUUCUCAAGGAACUUAUUCUGAAACAUUCAGAUUGAGGAUUGAGCUGGUGAAGUCAGCUGAGAUGGAGCUGGCCUGGUGUCACUAGAAUCUUUGCUUGGACAGAUUUUGUGGCCUUUCCCAAAAGAGAUAUAUGUCACACUUUGGAAUUUCACUUCUCAUGCAGGCAUGAAGUUAUUCUGUCACCAAUUAGAAUCCACAAAGUGAAUUCCUUGCAGAAGAUACCAUGGAGAUGUCUACAGACCACAUACUGCUCCAGGAGAUCCUGAACAAAUCUUCUGAUGUGCAAAAUUGAACUUUUGAGGGGUUGAAUAUAUUUGUUUUAUAUGUACUUUGCAUGUUGUACCAAAGGGGCCUGUCCCUAAUUGAUUUUGUUCUUUUUCUCUUGUUUCCUUAUUGUCCCCAAGUUAUUGUAUAUUCCACUUUAAAAAAA